Molecule: ribosomal RNA, 251 nt
Filed under: uncultured bacterium
Lineage: Bacteria
Description: partial 16S ribosomal RNA
Rfam family: Bacterial small subunit ribosomal RNA
Source: RNAcentral
UUCGGGGGAGUGGCAAACGGGUGAGUAACACGUUGAUAACCUACCUCAAAGUCGGGAACAGCUCGCUGAAAAGCGGGGUAAUACUCGAUUGUCCUACAUCACUUCGGUGUUUGUAGGUAAAGCUCCGGCGCUUUGAGAGGGGUCUGCGUCCUAUCAGCUAGUUGGUGAGGUAAAAGCUCACCAAGGCUAAGACGGGUAGCUGGUGUGAGAGCAUGACCAGCCACAAUGGAACUGAGAACGGUCCAUACUCC